GGGUACCAGUACAGAGUCAAUGUGGAGGCUAUAUACAGGGGGUACUGGUACAGAGUCAAUGUGGAGGCUAUAUACAGGGGGUACCGGUACAGAGUCAAUGUGGAGGCUAUAUACAGGGGGUACCGGUACAGAGUCAAUGUGGAGGCUAUAUACAGGGUGUUACGGUACAGAGUCAAUGUGGAGGCUAUAUACAGGGUGUUACGGUACAGAGUCAAUGUGGAGGCUAUAUACAGGGUGUUACAGUACAGAGUCAAUGUGGAGGCUAUAUACAGGGGGUACCAGUACAGAGUCAAUGUGGAGGCUAUAUACAGGGUGUUACGGUACAGAGUCAAUGUGGAGGCUAUA
This is a long non-coding RNA of Oncorhynchus keta (chum salmon), 345 nucleotides long. RefSeq lists it as uncharacterized. Lineage: Eukaryota; Metazoa; Chordata; Actinopteri; Salmoniformes; Salmonidae. The record is from RefSeq and is a predicted model, not a curated record. The transcript has 3 exons.